This 465-nucleotide ribosomal RNA is filed under the name uncultured Klebsiella sp. RNAcentral's name for it is "bacterial SSU rRNA". It matches the Rfam family "Bacterial small subunit ribosomal RNA", at positions 338 to 795 of the family's 1533-position model. Lineage: Bacteria; Pseudomonadati; Pseudomonadota; Gammaproteobacteria; Enterobacterales; Enterobacteriaceae. The record is from RNAcentral.
CCUACGGGGGGCUGCAGUGGGGAAUAUUGCACAAUGGGCGCAAGCCUGAUGCAGCCAUGCCGCGUGUGUGAAGAAGGCCUUCGGGUUGUAAAGCACUUUCAGCGGGGAGGAAGGCGUUAAGGUUAAUAACCUUGUCGAUUGACGUUACCCGCAGAAGAAGCACCGGCUAACUCCGUGCCAGCAGCCGCGGUAAUACGGAGGGUGCAAGCGUUAAUCGGAAUUACUGGGCGUAAAGCGCACGCAGGCGGUCUGUCAAGUCGGAUGUGAAAUCCCCGGGCUCAACCUGGGAACUGCAUUCGAAACUGGCAGGCUAGAGUCUUGUAGAGGGGGGUAGAAUUCCAGGUGUAACGGUGAAAUGCGUAGAGAUCUGGAGGAAUACCGGUGGCGAAGGCGGCCCCCUGGACAAAGACUGACGCUCAGGUGCGAAAGCGUGGGGAGCAAACAGGAUUAGAUACCCGUGUAGUC